Molecule: unclassified non-coding RNA, 348 nt
Filed under: soil metagenome
Description: partial contains 5.8S ribosomal RNA, internal transcribed spacer 2, and large subunit ribosomal RNA
Rfam family: 5.8S ribosomal RNA (bases 1-120)
Source: RNAcentral
GAUGAAGAACGUAGCGAAAUGCGAUAAGUAAUGUGAAUUGCAGAAUUCAGUGAAUCAUCGAAUCUUUGAACGCACAUUGCGCCCGCCAGUAUUCUGGCGGGCAUGCCUGUCUGAGCGUCAUUUCAACCCUCAUGCCCCUAGGGCGUGGUGUUGGGGAUCGGCCAAAGCCCGCGAGGGACGGCCGGCCCCUAAAUCUAGUGGCGGACCCGUCGUGGCCUCCUCUGCGAAGUAGUGAUAUUCCGCAUCGGAGAGCGAUGAGCCCCUGCCGUUAAACCCCCAACUUUCCAAGGUUGACCUCAGAUCAGGUAGGAAUACCCGCUGAACUUAAGCAUAUCAAUAAGCGGAGGC